This is a non-coding RNA of Armillaria luteobubalina, 90 nucleotides long. The record is from the annotation of a GenBank genome assembly. NCBI's taxonomy places the organism in Eukaryota, Fungi, Basidiomycota, Agaricomycetes, Agaricales, Physalacriaceae.
UCUCUGGUAGUAUAUCGGUUAGUACACGCGCCUGUCAUUAUCAUAAUCUCUAGAUCGCGCGAAAGCUGGGUUCGACUCCCAGCCAGAGAG